GAGGGUACAGCUCAGUGCUAGAGUGCAUGCUUAGCAUGCAUGAGACCCUGGGUUCCGUCCCCAGUACCUCCA
RNAcentral lists this transfer RNA (72 nucleotides) under Camelus bactrianus (Bactrian camel). It matches the Rfam family "tRNA". Rfam says of the family: Transfer RNA (tRNA) molecules are approximately 80 nucleotides in length. The record is from Rfam by way of RNAcentral. RNAcentral also lists the same sequence under 2 other names. Lineage: Eukaryota; Metazoa; Chordata; Mammalia; Artiodactyla; Camelidae.